AGUGAACGCUGGCGGUAGGCCUAACACAUGCAAGUCGAACGGCAGCACAGGAGAGCUUGCUCCCUGGGUGGCGAGUGGCGGACGGGUGAGGAAUACAUCGGAAUCUACUUUUUCGUGGGGGAUAACGUAGGGAAACUUACGCUAAUACCGCAUACGACCUACGGGUGAAAGCAGGGGAUCUUCGGACCUUGCGCGAUUGAAUGAGCCGAUGUCGGAUUAGCUAGUUGGCGGGGUAAAGGCCCACCAAGGCGACGAGCCGUAGCAGGUCUGAGAGGAUGAUCAGCCACACUGGCAGUGAGACACGGUCCAGACUCCUACGGGAGUCAUCAGUGGGGGAUAUUGGACAAUGGGCGCAGGCCUGAUCCAGCCAUACCGCGUGAGUGAAGAAGGCCUUCGGGUUGUAAAGCCCUUUUGUUGGGAAAGAAAUCCAGCUGGUUAAUACCCGGUUGGGAUGACGGUACCCAAAGAAUAAGCACCGGCUAACUUCGUGCCAGCCGCCGCGGUAA
This 506-nucleotide ribosomal RNA is filed under the name uncultured bacterium. RNAcentral's name for it is "partial 16S ribosomal RNA". It matches the Rfam family "Bacterial small subunit ribosomal RNA", at positions 29 to 523 of the family's 1533-position model. The record is from RNAcentral.